This 103-nucleotide microRNA precursor is filed under the name Marmota monax (woodchuck). Lineage: Eukaryota; Metazoa; Chordata; Mammalia; Rodentia; Sciuridae. The record is from RNAcentral.
AGAGGAAUAGCCGGGUCAAAUGGUUGCUCCAUUCCCAGAUUUCCAAGGAAUCUCCAUACUGCUUUCCAUAUUGGCUGCACCAAUUUGCAGUCCCACCAGCAAU